AUUGAACGCUGGCGGCAUGCCUUACACAUGCAAGUCGAACGAGACCUUCGGGUCUAGUGGCGCACGGGUGCGUAACGCGUGGGAACCUGCCUUUAGGUUCGGAAUAACUCAGAGAAAUUUGAGCUAAUACCGGAUAAUGUCUUCGGACCAAAGAUUUAUCGCCUUUAGAUGGGCCCGCGUUGGAUUAGCUAGUUGGUGGGUAAAGGCCUACCAAGGCGACGAUCCAUAGCUGGUCUGAGAGGAUGAUCAGCCACACUGGGACUGAGACACGGCCCAGACUCCUACGGAGGCAGCAGUGGGGAAUAUUGGACAAUGGGCGAAAGCCUGAUCCAGCAAUGCCGCGUGAGUGAUGAAGGCCUUAGGGUUGUAAAGCUCUUUACCCGAGAUGAUAAUGACAGUAUCGGGAGAAUAAGCUCCGGCUAACUCCGUGCCAGCAGCCGCGGUAAUGUGACUACUG
This 457-nucleotide ribosomal RNA is filed under the name uncultured bacterium. RNAcentral describes it as "bacterial SSU rRNA". It matches the Rfam family "Bacterial small subunit ribosomal RNA", at positions 30 to 534 of the family's 1533-position model. The record is from RNAcentral.